GUGAGGAAUAUUGGUCAAUGGGCGAGAGCCUGAACCAGCCAAAUCGCGUGAAGGAUGAAGGUAUUAUGUAUUGUAAACUUCUUUUAUCGGGGAAUAAAGUGCGGGACGUGUCCCGUUUUGUAUGUACCCGAAGAAUAAGGAUCGGCUAACUCCGUGCCAGCAGCCGCGGUAAUACGGAGGAUCCAAGCGUUAUCCGGAUUUAUUGGGUUUAAAGGGUGCGUAGGCGGACUGUCAAGUCAGCGGUGAAAGUCCAUGGCUCAACCAUGGAAUUGCCGUUGAAACUGUCGGUCUUGAGUGUAGAUGAGGUAGGCGGAAUUCGUAGUGUAGCGGUGAAAUGCUUAGAUAUUACGAAGAACUCCAAUUGCGUAGGCAGCUUACCAGGCUACAACUGACGCUGAGGCACGAAGGUGCGGGGAUCAAACAGGAUUAGAUACCCUUGUAGUCC
RNAcentral lists this ribosomal RNA (445 nucleotides) under uncultured bacterium. RNAcentral's name for it is "partial 16S ribosomal RNA". It matches the Rfam family "Bacterial small subunit ribosomal RNA", at positions 354 to 796 of the family's 1533-position model. The record is from RNAcentral.